GUGGGGAAUAUUGGACAAUGGGCGAAAGCCUGAUCCAGCCAUGCCGCGUGUGUGAAGAAGGUCUUCGGAUUGUAAAGCACUUUAAGUUGGGAGGAAGGGCAUUAACCUAAUACGUUAGUGUUUUGACGUUACCGACAGAAUAAGCACCGGCUAACUUCGUGCCAGCAGCCGCGGUAAUACGAAGGGUGCAAGCGUUAAUCGGAAUUACUGGGCGUAAAGCGCGCGUAGGUGGUUUGUUAAGUUGGAUGUGAAAGCCCCGGGCUCAACCUGGGAACUGCAUCCAAAACUGGCAAGCUAGAGUAUGGCAGAGGGUGGUGGAAUUUCCUGUGUAGCGGUGAAAUGCGUAGAUAUAGGAAGGAACACCAGUGGCGAAGGCGACCACCUGGGCUAAUACUGACACUGAGGUGCGAAAGCGUGGGGAGCAAACAGG
This 430-nucleotide ribosomal RNA is filed under the name uncultured bacterium. RNAcentral describes it as "bacterial SSU rRNA". It matches the Rfam family "Bacterial small subunit ribosomal RNA", at positions 354 to 776 of the family's 1533-position model. The record is from RNAcentral.